RNAcentral lists this ribosomal RNA (425 nucleotides) under uncultured prokaryote. RNAcentral describes it as "bacterial SSU rRNA". It matches the Rfam family "Bacterial small subunit ribosomal RNA", at positions 355 to 796 of the family's 1533-position model. The record is from RNAcentral.
UCGAGAAUCUUCCGCAAUGGACGAAAGUCUGACGGAGCGACGCCGCGUGCGGGACGAAGGCCUUCGGGUUGUAAACCGCUGUCAGGGGGGAACAAUCACUGAGUGAUCCCCAAAGGAAGCACGGGCUAAGUUCGUGCCAGCAGCCGCGGUAAGACGAACCGUGCGAACGUUGUUCGGAAUCACUGGGCUUAAAGGGCGCGUAGGCGGGUGGCAAUGUCCGAGGUGAAAGCCUUCAGCUCAACUGGAGAAGUGCCUCGGAUACUGGCCGUCUUGAGGGAGGUAGGGGCAGUUGGAACUUCCAGUGGAGCGGUGAAAUGCGUUGAUAUUGGAAGGAACGCCGGUGGCGAAAGCGAACUGCUGGACCUCUUCUGACGCUGAGGCGCGAAAGCUAGGGUAGCGAAGAGGAUUAGAUACCCCCGUAGUCC